CAAUAGCGUAUAUUAAAGUUGUUGCGGUUAAAAAGCUCGUAGUUGGAUUUCUGCUGAGAACGACCGGUCCGCCCUUUGGGUGUGUAUCUGGCUCUUUCUUGGCAUCUUCUUGGUGAACGUUGCUGCACUUGACUGUGUGGAGCGCUACCCAGGACUUUUACUUUGAGGAAAUUAGAGUGUUUCAAGCAGGCAUACGCCUUGAAUACAUUAGCAUGGAAUAAUAAGAUAGGACCUCGGUUCUAUUUUGUUGGUUUCUAGAGCUGAGGUAAUGAUUAAUAGGGAUAGUUGGGGGCAUUCGUAUUUAACUGUCAGAGGUGGAAUUCUUGGAUUUGUUAAAGACGGACUACUGCGAAAGCAUUUGCCAAGGAUGUUUUCAUUGA
This 380-nucleotide ribosomal RNA is filed under the name uncultured eukaryote. RNAcentral's name for it is "partial 18S ribosomal RNA". It matches the Rfam family "Eukaryotic small subunit ribosomal RNA", at positions 592 to 976 of the family's 1831-position model. The record is from RNAcentral.